This 440-nucleotide ribosomal RNA is filed under the name uncultured bacterium. RNAcentral's name for it is "partial 16S ribosomal RNA". It matches the Rfam family "Bacterial small subunit ribosomal RNA", at positions 338 to 795 of the family's 1533-position model. The record is from RNAcentral.
CCUACGGGUGACAGCAGUGGGGAAUAUUGCACAAUGGGGGAAACCCUGAUGCAGCGACGCCGCGUGAGUGAAGAAGUAUUUCUGUAUGUAAAGCUCUAUCAGCAGGGAAGAAAAUGACGGUACCUGUUUAAGAAGCCCCGUCUAAAUACGGGCCACCUGCCGCGGUGAAAAGUAGGGGGCAAGCGUUAUCCGGAUUGACUGGGUGUAAAGGGAGCAUAGAGGGCAGCACAAGUCUGGAGUUAAAUGCGUGGGCUUAAACCCGGAAGUGCUUGGGAAACUGUGAAGCUAGAGUGCAGGAGAGGUAAGUGGAAUGCGUGGUGUAGCGGUGAAAUGCGUAGAUAUUAGGAGGAACACCAGUGGCGAAGGCGGCUUACUGGAGUGUAACUGACGUUGAGGCUCGAAAGCGUGGGGAGCGAACAGGAUUAGAUACCCGGGUAGUC